This 103-nucleotide small nuclear RNA is filed under the name Bos grunniens (domestic yak). Lineage: Eukaryota; Metazoa; Chordata; Mammalia; Artiodactyla; Bovidae. The record is from RNAcentral.
GGAAGCCCGGCAGUACAUGUAUUAAAAUUGGAAUGAUACAGAGAAGAUUAGCAUGGCCCUGAGCAAAGAUGACACACAAAUUCAUGAAGUGUUCCAUAUUUUA